Centruroides sculpturatus (bark scorpion) is the source of this 404-nucleotide long non-coding RNA. RefSeq lists it as uncharacterized. NCBI's taxonomy places the organism in Eukaryota, Metazoa, Arthropoda, Arachnida, Scorpiones, Buthidae. The transcript has 2 exons. The record is from RefSeq and is a predicted model, not a curated record.
GUUUAGAACUGGACUAAAUAUGGCAGAUAUUAGAACAUGUCAACUGUUAGAACGCGAAUACUGAAGGCUAAUUCGUUAUUUGUUUACACUUAAACGUAUCAAAGACGACCUGUAUGGUUAAAGAGUGCAUUAACCUCUACUAUGUCUGUAUCCCACAAGCUAUAAAGUGGAUAUUCAAGAUACAGAGAACUACUAGAUCAGCCAGUUAAGAUUAAAAACUUUUACGAAGGAGGCUACCUGUUGAUCCAACAACUACUAGUCUGCUUGCGCUUUCCACCACCUACAACUUUAUUCGCCUACACGAUACUCUAGUCAUUGAACCAAGCACCUUUCCUCUUUUUCAUUAAACCGUCCUCGUUUCAGAUGUCUGACGUCUUUUAUAUAAUAAAAUCAAAAUUUUUGGU